UACGGAGGGUGCAAGCGUUAAUCGGAAUUACUGGGCGUAAAGCGCGCGUAGGCGGCUGGAUAAGUCGAUUGUGAAAGCCCCGGGCUCAACCUGGGAAUUGCAGUCGAGACUGUUCGGCUAGAGUGUGGGAGAGGGCAGUGGAAUUCCCGGUGUAGCGGUGAAAUGCGUAGAUAUCGGGAGGAACAUCAGUGGCGAAGGCGACUGCCUGGCCCAACGCUGACGCUGAGGUGCGAAAGCGUGGGUAGCAAACAGG
RNAcentral lists this ribosomal RNA (253 nucleotides) under uncultured bacterium. RNAcentral describes it as "partial 16S ribosomal RNA". It matches the Rfam family "Bacterial small subunit ribosomal RNA", at positions 524 to 776 of the family's 1533-position model. The record is from RNAcentral.